ACCUACGGGGGGCAGCAGUGAGGAAUAUUGGGCAAUGGGCGAAAGCCUGACCCAGCCACGCCGCGUGAGUGAUGAAGGCCUUCGGGUCGUAAAGCUCUGUGGGGAGGGACGAACAAGUGCGUACCUAACACGUACGUGCCCUGACGGUACCUCCUUAGCAAGCACCGGCUAACCAUGUGCCAGCAGCCGCGGUAAUACAUGGGGUGCAAACGUUGCUCGGAAUCAUUGGGCGUAAAGCGCACGUAGGCGGCCACUUAAGUCGGAUGUGAAAGCCCUUGGCUUAACUGAGGAAGUGCAUCCGAAACUGAGCGGCUUGAGUACGAAAGAGGGUCGCGGAAUUCCCGGUGUAGAGGUGAAAUUCGUAGAUAUCGGGAGGAACACCGGCGGCGAAGGCGGCGACCUGGUUCGAGACUGACGCUGAGGUGCGAAAGCGUGGGGAGCAAACAGGCUUAGAUACCCUGGUAGU
This 466-nucleotide ribosomal RNA is filed under the name uncultured bacterium. RNAcentral describes it as "bacterial SSU rRNA". It matches the Rfam family "Bacterial small subunit ribosomal RNA", at positions 337 to 794 of the family's 1533-position model. The record is from RNAcentral.